Long non-coding RNA from Numida meleagris (helmeted guineafowl), 3308 nucleotides. RefSeq lists it as uncharacterized. NCBI's taxonomy places the organism in Eukaryota, Metazoa, Chordata, Aves, Galliformes, Numididae. The transcript is spliced from 3 exons. The record is from RefSeq and is a predicted model, not a curated record.
CCCUCCUCUUGAUUGGUUUUUCAUCCUGUCGCUCUUGACUGUGACCAAUCAGAGCCAUAAGAGGUGGCCUGACGGGCCGGGCGGGGGCGGUGCCUUGCCGCUCGCUGCCCGCCGCGCUGAGGUACUUUCCGCCUUCACUGCCCGACAGUAGUCGUGGGAGUCCCUUUCUUCGCACCUCUUCUUCACCGGGAGAGCCCCUUGAGAAGCUAUUUUUCUUCCGAAAGGGAAGCUGAGGCCAGUUUCCCGGAGGUGUUGAUCACACGUAAAGGCUGAGGUGCCUCAAGGCUGCCCGGUGCCUCUGAGAAGCGGGUGAAGUCAUGGCCAGGUGCUUUGAUAAGAGGUGCUGUCCUCCUCCUGUUUGCUUCAGAGUGCUGUAAAAGAAGUGCAGAUUCAAAAUCACAGAAGUGGUGAGAAGAAAAAGGAGAGGUCAAAUAGUGCAGAGAGACAGAAACUCGGAUGUUAAAAUUUCAGCAGGUGGAGUGAGUGUCCAUGUCCAAGCUUUGGUAGCAGGACAGCUUCAGGGGUUGGCCGCCAUGAGAAGAGACCACAAGCAGCCUCCAUCUCCAACACAGCCAGUGAUCUCCAAAAUACCCCUGCUGCAGGCUGAAGGUGAGCCCCGUGGAGAGGAACCUUCGAAAGAUUGAAGUGGACCUUGUGAAACAGAGGGAUAUUAGGGGAAGGUGUUUUUAUUUUUGACUGGCAAUGAAUUAAGUCAGUCUUCCCCAAGUUUAGUCUUUUUUGUCCAUGAUAGCAAUUGGUAAGCGAUCUCCCUUUAUCGCAACCCACAAAACUUUGUUGCCAUGCAAUUUAUCCUCUGCUUUCACUAGGGCCCACUUUUUUCCAGAAUGAAAACAAUUUUUUUUUUUAGCAGCAGAAGGAAUAAGAAAAGUAACAGCUUGGGAAAAGGCUGCACACAUUUACUAGUGAGUACUGUGGAAGUUAGUAAAGUAGUGCCUAAGUUUUUAUCCUACUUGUGUUGAUAAAACCUGCUUUGGAUGUUUCAGAACUGGGCACAUGGAGAUCAACAGAAGCAAUGCUCUGAACACUUAGCUGCUUAAUGUUGAGUUACAGGCCCAGGUGACAGCUGGAAUUAACAAUGACAAGUGAAGUACGUCACAUUAGAUUCACAACAUCAAACCUAGCCAUCCUUGCUUGCAACAUAUACCAGCACUAGCUGCACACAAAGAAUAGGAAAAAAAAAACAGGAGGUGAGUUUAUAAACAAAAAAAAGCUUUCUCCUGGGGACGAGAGAGAAAAUGCUAUAUAAUUGUUGAUUUAUUUAAUGUCACAGUUCUUUGUGACACAUUAUAGACAUGCACGGUCCUACUAGAAGGAACCUGUCUUUAUAAGUGUGUGCAAACAUGCAGGAUGCAGACCAUGAAAAUGUAAACAAAGGUAUGGUCUGCUUUUGACUAAGUAGUGGUGUGGGCAAACAUGGUAUGAGAAAUAAUCAUAGCUCUGUAACCAUAAGUUCCUUGUCUCCCAGGACUACUUCAAGUACGCAGCUCUGCAGAAGCUGCUGCAGUUGAAUUUCUGAGUGCUACUGCCAUUUACUUCAGGUGUUAGCAGACCAAAGCAAAUCUUCUCCUUCCAGCCUGUCAUGCUUUAGGAUUUUAGAUAUUGCUUACACAGAGGAGUAUGUAAAAAUUACCAGUUUUAAUGGAAGAUGUACCUAUGGCUCAUAACAACUGUGAACAACUUAAAUUCAAAUAGACAGUGGGAUGAGGACAUCACUGAGAAUAGAGGGAGUUCAAGGUGGAUUCCAUCUCAGGUACUUCAGUUGGUACCUGAAGAAGGAUGUGAUAACCCCCAGCAUAACUCUUCUAGUAAGAGUACAGAAAUACAAGAAUAACUAAUAAAUACAGAUUGGAAGUUGCAAGUUUCUAAAGAAGAAUUUGCAUAUCUGCAUCUUUUCAGUUACAACUGAGGGGAAAAAAGAAAUCACACGAUGUCAUUCAUGCAUUCAGUAUGACACGACUGUCAGAAUGAUAAUCAAAAAGCUAAAUUACAUAGGCUUUUUCACCUAUUUUUAACUGCCAACAAAAAGCUACUAAGACUAGCAAAUGACUGCCCAAAAAAUUAGUCCUAAGUUUAUAGUUCUGGUGUACUAAAAAUAGCAAAAUUUGAUUUCCCUUCCCUGCCAGCCCAUUGAUGUUGAGUAGUACCAGCUAGUUAUUUUCCAUAUGACUAAUAAUAAUACAUGUAUCUGCAAAGCUGUUUGCCCCGACUCACCUCUGUAAGAUAACAUGAGGAAAAAACAUGCACUGCUUUCAUCUCUAUCAGACAAACAGUGCUGGCUGUAGAUGAACAGUAUCAUACCUUGACAUUCAGAACCUGAGCUGUUGUCUUCUGUGUUUCAUCUUCUGUGCAGAAAAAAAACAUGUGCAAUAGCAUCAUAGAUUUAUUUUUAGCCAAUUUGUUUACCUUGUUCCAUCUGUUCAAAGGAAAAACAUCACGAUCAGGACAGGUACAAGGUUGGGCCAGAUGUACAGGGGUGGUUACCUUUGAUCUAUUUUAUGCAAUUCUUCAUCUUCAGAUUUAAUAAAUGAGGACUUCCUCGUUUCACACUCUGUACAAGCAUUAGCUCAAAUACAUGCCCAUGAAAGAGGAGGUAAGAAGCAAGCAUUUCACAAAUAAGACAACUCAAAAUUUGUCAGUUCUCAGGGAGAAAAAAGUCUAUUCUUAUCUGAAGUUGCCAUAAGUACGGCAGCUGAGGCUUUUAACUUGGGCUAGUUUUAAAUGAAAACUUCAAAAGGAAACGCAAGUAUAAAACCUAGACCCUUCUGUCUAUUAAAACCCAGCUGACUUACCUUCAUCUUUGCACAAAAUACUUUCUUCUUUCUAUCUUUGGAAUGUAAGCACGUCCUAAAUGGAGGCAAGGAAUUUCCAAAGCAGCUACAGAUUUUGAUUAUGUUUUUAAACGUUGAGUUUGAAGUACUUAAGUGAAAUUUUCCAAAACGUUGUCUUUCAAACUGCAGUUAAGUAUUGAGCAUAAACUGGAGUUGUAUGGCCAUUGCAACUUCUUGGAAAACAAAGAUACCUCUGAGGAAAUUUGAGGAUGAAUUACCCUUUCUUUGAAAAACAGAAGUUAGAUAAAAUGCUGGUGAAGUGUGGACUUCCUUUCCUGCUGGUAACAGAGAGAAUAAAAGCUAUAAUUUUGUGUUCUAUGCUAGCACAUGUACUAACUGAACUCAAAGUCCUGUCUUCUCCUAAGAGCAUACUUAGAGUGAACUGUCCUACAAAAGAGGUCAGGAUUUCCCCUACCACAAACUACUCCCUUUAUCUUCCUUAUUAUGUUUUGUUGAGGG